AGAGUUUGAUCAUGGCUCAGAUUGAACGCUGGCGGCAGGCCUAACACAUGCAAGUCGAGCGGUAGCACAGAGAGCUUGCUCUCGGGUGACGAGCGGCGGACGGGUGAGUAAUGUCUGGGAAACUGCCUGAUGGAGGGGGAUAACUACUGGAAACGGUAGCUAAUACCGCAUAACGUCGCAAGACCAAAGUGGGGGACCUUCGGGCCUCAUGCCAUCAGAUGUGCCCAGAUGGGAUUAGCUAGUAGGUGGGGUAACGGCUCACCUAGGCGACGAUCCCUAGCUGGUCUGAGAGGAUGACCAGCCACACUGGAACUGAGACACGGUCCAGACUCCUACGGGAGGCAGCAGUGGGGAAUAUUGCACAAUGGGCGCAAGCCUGAUGCAGCCAUGCCGCGUGUGUGAAGAAGGCCUUCGGGUUGUAAAGCACUUUCAGCGGGGAGGAAGGCGUUAAGGUUAAUAACCUUGGCGAUUGACGUUACCCGCAGAAGAAGCACCGGCUAACUCCGUGCCAGCAGCCGCGGUAAUACGGAGGGUGCAAGCGUUAAUCGGAAUUACUGGGCGUAAAGCGCACGCAGGCGGUCUGUCAAGUCGGAUGUGAAAUCCCCGGGCUCAACCUGGGAACUGCAUUCGAAACUGGCAGGCUAGAGUCUUGUAGAGGGGGGUAGAAUUCCAGGUGUAGCGGUGAAAUGCGUAGAGAUCUGGAGGAAUACCGGUGGCGAAGGCGGCCCCCUGGACAAAGACUGACGCUCAGGUGCGAAAGCGUGGGGAGCAAACAGGAUUAGAUACCCUGGUAGUCCACGCCGUAAACGAUGUCGAUUUGGAGGUUGUGCCCUUGAGGCGUGGCUUCCGGAGCUAACGCGUUAAAUCGACCGCCUGGGGAGUACGGCCGCAAGGUUAAAACUCAAAUGAAUUGACGGGGGCCCGCACAAGCGGUGGAGCAUGUGGUUUAAUUCGAUGCAACGCGAAGAACCUUACCUGGUCUUGACAUCCACAGAACUUUCCAGAGAUGGAUUGGUGCCUUCGGGAACUGUGAGACAGGUGCUGCAUGGCUGUCGUCAGCUCGUGUUGUGAAAUGUUGGGUUAAGUCCCGCAACGAGCGCAACCCUUAUCCUUUGUUGCCAGCGGUNCGGCCGGGAACUCAAAGGAGACUGCCAGUGAUAAACUGGAGGAAGGUGGGGAUGACGUCAAGUCAUCAUGGCCCUUACGACCAGGGCUACACACGUGCUACAAUGGCAUAUACAAAGAGAAGCGACCUCGCGAGAGCAAGCGGACCUCAUAAAGUAUGUCGUAGUCCGGAUUGGAGUCUGCAACUCGACUCCAUGAAGUCGGAAUCGCUAGUAAUCGUAGAUCAGAAUGCUACGGUGAAUACGUUCCCGGGCCUUGUACACACCGCCCGUCACACCAUGGGAGUGGGUUGCAAAAGAAGUAGGUAGCUUAACCUUCGGGAGGGCGCUUACCACUUUGUGAUUCAUGACUGGGGUGAAGUCGUAACAAGGUAACCGUAGGGGAACCUGCGGUUGGAUCACCU
This 1528-nucleotide ribosomal RNA is filed under the name Klebsiella pneumoniae. RNAcentral describes it as "bacterial SSU rRNA". It matches the Rfam family "Bacterial small subunit ribosomal RNA". The record is from RNAcentral. Lineage: Bacteria; Pseudomonadati; Pseudomonadota; Gammaproteobacteria; Enterobacterales; Enterobacteriaceae.